CUAUGCGCCUUGCCAGCCCCGCUCAGAAACUUAAAGGAAUUGACGGGGCCCGCACAAGCGGAGGAGCAUGUGGUUUAAUUCGAUGAUACGCGAGGAACCUUACCUGGGCUCGAACGUAAGAUGACUGUAGGUGAAAGCUUACAUCUCUUCGGAGCAUUUUACGAGGUGCUGCAUGGUUGUCGUCAGCUCGUGCCGUGAGGUGUCGGGUUAAGUCCCGUAACGAGCGCAACCCUUGUCCUUAGUUACCAGCACGUUAUGGUGGGCACUCUAAGGAGACUGCCGGUGACAAACCGGAGGAAGGUGGGGAUGACGUCAAGUCAUCAUGGCCCUUACGGCCUGGGCUACACACGUGCUACAAUGGUCGGUACAAAGGGUUGCCAAGCCGCGAGGUGGAGCUAAUCCCAUAAAACCGAUCGUAGUCCGGAUCGCAGUCUGCAACUCGACUGCGUGAAGUCGGAAUCGCUAGUAAUCGUGAAUCAGAAUGUCACGGUGAAUACGUUCCCGGGCCUU
Molecule: ribosomal RNA, 510 nt
Filed under: uncultured Pseudomonas sp.
Lineage: Bacteria; Pseudomonadati; Pseudomonadota; Gammaproteobacteria; Pseudomonadales; Pseudomonadaceae
Description: bacterial SSU rRNA
Rfam family: Bacterial small subunit ribosomal RNA
Source: RNAcentral